RNAcentral lists this ribosomal RNA (492 nucleotides) under uncultured bacterium. RNAcentral's name for it is "partial 16S ribosomal RNA". It matches the Rfam family "Bacterial small subunit ribosomal RNA", at positions 29 to 507 of the family's 1533-position model. The record is from RNAcentral.
AGUGAACGCUGGCGGUAGGCCUAACACAUGCAAGUCGAACGGCAGCACAGUAAGAGCUUGCUCUUACGGGUGGCGAGUGGCGGACGGGUGAGGAGUACAUCGGAAUCUACUUUUUCGUGGGGGAUAACGUAGGGAAACUUACGCUAAUACCGCAUACGACCUACGGGUGAAAGCGGGGGAUCUUCGGACCUUGCGCGAUUGAAUGAGCCGAUGUCGGAUUAGCUAGUUGGCGGGGUAAAGGCCCACCAAGGCGACGAUCCGUAGCUGGUCUGAGAGGAUGAUCAGCCACACUGGAACUGAGACACGGUCCAGACUCCUACGGGAGGCAGCAGUGGGGAAUAUUGGACAAUGGGCGCAAGCCUGAUCCAGCCAUACCGCGUGGGUGAAGAAGGCCUUCGGGUUGUAAAGCCCUUUUGUUGGGAAAGAAAAGCAGCAGGUUAAUACCCCGCUGUUCUGACGGUACCCAAAGAAUAAGCACCGGCUAACUUCGUG